RNAcentral lists this ribosomal RNA (252 nucleotides) under uncultured bacterium. RNAcentral describes it as "partial 16S ribosomal RNA". It matches the Rfam family "Bacterial small subunit ribosomal RNA", at positions 524 to 776 of the family's 1533-position model. The record is from RNAcentral.
UACGGAGGAUGCGAGCGUUAUCCGGAUUUAUUGGGUUUAAAGGGUGCGCAGGCGGAUUUUUAAGUCAGCGGUCAAAUCGUGGGGCUCAACCCCAUCCAGCCGUUGAAACUGUGUGACUGGAGUGCAGGAGAGGUAAGCGGAAUUCCUGGUGUAGCGGUGAAAUGCGUAGAUAUCAGGAGGAACACCAGUGGCGAAGGCGGCUUACUGGACUGUAACUGACGUUGAGGCUCGAAAGCGUGGGGAGCAAACAGG